Molecule: ribosomal RNA, 393 nt
Filed under: uncultured bacterium
Lineage: Bacteria
Description: bacterial SSU rRNA
Rfam family: Bacterial small subunit ribosomal RNA
Source: RNAcentral
AAUCAACGCUGGCGGCGUGCCUCAGACAUGCAAGUCGAACGAUUAAAGCUCUCUUCGGAGAGUGUAUAGAGUGGCGCACGGGUGAGUAACACGUAAGUAAUCUACCUUUGAGUGGGGAAUAACGUCCGGAAACGGACGCUAAUACCGCAUAAUGCAGCGGCAUCGCAAGAUGACAGUUGUUAAAGAUUUAUCGCUUGAAGAGGAGCUUGCGGCAGAUUAGCUAGUUGGUAAGGUAAUGGCUUACCAAGGCUACGAUCUGUAACCGGUCUAAGAGGACGGUCGGUCACACUGACACUGAAUAACGGGUCAGACUCCUACGGGAGGCAGCGAGUUGGGAAUCUUGGACGAAUGGGGGAACCCUGAUCCAGCCAUGCCGCGUGAGUGAUGAAGGCC